Dioscorea cayenensis subsp. rotundata (Guinea yam) is the source of this 107-nucleotide small nucleolar RNA. The record is from RefSeq and is a predicted model, not a curated record. NCBI's taxonomy places the organism in Eukaryota, Viridiplantae, Streptophyta, Magnoliopsida, Dioscoreales, Dioscoreaceae.
AAACCAUGAUGCGGCCACUGUCUGAAGAGAUCCUUAAACCUCUCAUGAGCUUUAAACAACGUUUUUGAGUCACCUUGUUGGAAAAAAGAUAUUUCCAGUCUCAGUCG